UACGUAGGGUGCGAGCGUUGUCCGGAAUUAUUGGGCGUAAAGAGCUUGUAGGCGGUCUGUCGCGUCUGCUGUGAAAAUCCGGGGCUCAACCCCGGACUUGCAGUGGGUACGGGCAGACUAGAGUGUGGUAGGGGAGACUGGAAUUCUCGGUGUAGCGGUGAAAUGCGUAGAUAUCGAGAGGAACACCUGCGGCGAAGGCGGGUUGCUGGGCUGACACUGACGCUGAGGCGCGAAAGCUAGGGGAGCGAACGGG
This 253-nucleotide ribosomal RNA is filed under the name uncultured bacterium. RNAcentral describes it as "partial 16S ribosomal RNA". It matches the Rfam family "Bacterial small subunit ribosomal RNA", at positions 524 to 776 of the family's 1533-position model. The record is from RNAcentral.